Non-coding RNA from Paxillus rubicundulus Ve08.2h10, 102 nucleotides. The record is from Rfam. NCBI's taxonomy places the organism in Eukaryota, Fungi, Basidiomycota, Agaricomycetes, Boletales, Paxillaceae.
GGUCGUAUAGUGUAGCGGUUAUCACUCGGGAUUUUGAUCGAUGCGGAGUUUCAAUUCGCAGCGAAAGUUCCCGAAACCCAGGUUCGAACCCUGGUACGACCU